This 207-nucleotide long non-coding RNA is filed under the name Mytilus galloprovincialis (Mediterranean mussel). Lineage: Eukaryota; Metazoa; Mollusca; Bivalvia; Mytilida; Mytilidae. The record is from RNAcentral.
UUUAAUCAAAGAUCCGAACUGCUUCAUAUUAUAUACAUGUCUCAUGGGCGAUCAACCAAUUUUUGCUUUCUUCUUAAUUAUGUCUCAUGUGCAAUCAAACCCUCUCUUUACCAUAGUAGUAUGUGUGAAAUGUAAAACCGGCUCCUUUUGUUUUCAAAGAUAAAUAUAUAAUCAACAAAGAAUUUGGAAUGAUAUGGCUAUAGUAUU